Molecule: long non-coding RNA, 466 nt
Organism: Trichomycterus rosablanca
Lineage: Eukaryota; Metazoa; Chordata; Actinopteri; Siluriformes; Trichomycteridae
Exons: 4
Source: RefSeq, a predicted model, not a curated record
UGUAUUCACAUUGUUUUCCUAUUUUGCUAGAGUGUGUGAGUAAGGGAGCAUCCUGUCUGCGCACGUUUUAAACCAUGCUGAAGAAGACGGAUUGUUCACACACUUCUUAAGGAUAUUUUAGCUGAUUGAUCAAGCUACAAGGGGACAGAGGCAUAACAGGCCUAUCUGAAUGUCUUAACUGGACGUUUUGGAAGUUAUGGAUUUGCACAAGCCUGAAAGUUGGCAUAUAAGCAGACGGAUGUGAAGAAAAUGUGCACUGGGAUUUGGAUUUCUGCCUGUUAUAUAUACAUCGAUGGCAUCUGGUUAAUUAAGGAGCAAAUUAGCACAGUCAGGUAUUUAAGUCUCUAUACGGCUGCAGCGUUUGAAGCAAGAGGUAUAUUAUAGACGCAGUAAAUCCUUGUUAUUUAUGAAUGCAUAUAAUGCUUUUACUACGUUUCAAAUCAAGGUCGAAUGUAUGUAGUCGAGU